UACGUAGGGGGCAAGCGUUGUCCGGAUUUAUUGGGCGUAAAGAGCGUGUAGGCGGCUUGGUAGGUCCGCUGUGAAAACUCGAGGCUCAACCUCGAGAUGUCGGCGGAAACCACUUGGCUAGAGUCCGGAAGAGGAGAGUGGAAUUCCUGGUGUAGCGGUGAAAUGCGCAGAUAUCAGGAAGAACACCAGUGGCGAAGGCGGCUCACUGGUCCGGUACUGACGCUGAUGUGCGAAAGCGUGGGGAGCAAACAGG
This 253-nucleotide ribosomal RNA is filed under the name uncultured bacterium. RNAcentral's name for it is "partial 16S ribosomal RNA". It matches the Rfam family "Bacterial small subunit ribosomal RNA", at positions 524 to 776 of the family's 1533-position model. The record is from RNAcentral.